GAGGAAUAUUGGACAAUGGGCGCAAGCCUGAUCCAGCCAUGCCGCGUGCAGGAAGACGGCCCUAUGGGUUGUAAACUGCUUUUGUACGGGAAGAAACACCACUACGCGUAGUGGCUUGACGGUACCGUAAGAAUAAGGAUCGGCUAACUCCGUGCCAGCAGCCGCGGUAAUACGGAGGAUCCAAGCGUUAUCCGGAAUCAUUGGGUUUAAAGGGUCCGUAGGUGGACGAUUAAGUCAGGGGUGAAAUCUUGCAGCUCAACUGUAAAAUUGCCCUUGAUACUGGUUGUCUCGAAUCAUUGUGAAGUGGUUAGAAUAUGUAGUGUAGCGGUGAAAUGCAUAGAUAUUACAUAGAAUACCGAUUGCGAAGGCAGAUCACUAACGGUGCAUUGACACUGAUGGACGAAAGCGUGGGGAGCGAAC
This 420-nucleotide ribosomal RNA is filed under the name uncultured bacterium. Its description in RNAcentral is "bacterial SSU rRNA". It matches the Rfam family "Bacterial small subunit ribosomal RNA", at positions 356 to 773 of the family's 1533-position model. The record is from RNAcentral.